This 475-nucleotide ribosomal RNA is filed under the name Pterois antennata (broadbarred firefish). Its description in RNAcentral is "partial small subunit ribosomal RNA". It matches the Rfam family "Bacterial small subunit ribosomal RNA", at positions 788 to 1491 of the family's 1533-position model. The record is from RNAcentral. Lineage: Eukaryota; Metazoa; Chordata; Actinopteri; Perciformes; Scorpaenidae.
CACUAUGCCUAGCCCUAAACAUUGGUAUAAUCCCACAUAUUAUACCCGCCUGGGUACUACGAGCACCAGCUUAAAACCCAAAGGACUUGGCGGUGCUUUAGACCCCCCUAGAGGAGCCUGUUCUAGAACCGAUAACCCCCGUUCAACCUCACCCUUUCUUGUCUAUUCCGCCUAUAUACCGCCGUCGUCAGCUUACCCUGUGAAGGCCUAAUAGUAAGCACAAAUGGUACAACCCAAAACGUCAGGUCGAGGUGUAGCAAAUGAAAGGGGAAGAAAUGGGCUACAUUCCCUGUACCCAGGGAAAACGAAUGACAUACUGAAAUACAUGUCUGAAGGAGGAUUUAGUAGUAAGUAAGAAAUAGAGUGUUUCACUGAAACUGGCCCUGAAGCGCGCACACACCGCCCGUCACUCUCCCCAAGCUCAAUAAUUUAACUAACUAAAAAGCCUAUCAUGCGGAGGGGAGGCAAGUCGUAA